RNAcentral lists this unclassified non-coding RNA (144 nucleotides) under uncultured Leptosphaerulina. RNAcentral's name for it is "sequence contains ITS1". Lineage: Eukaryota; Fungi; Ascomycota; Dothideomycetes; Pleosporales; Pleosporaceae. The record is from RNAcentral.
CCAAUGUCUUCGGGGGGACUCCGGUCCCUGUCUGAACCCUUGUCUUUUGCGCACUAUUUGUUUCCUUGGUGGGCUUUUGCCUGCCAAAAGGACACUAUAUAACCCUUUGUAAUUGCAAUCAGCGUCAGAAAAACAUAAUAGUUA